GACGAACGCUGGCGGCGUGCUUAACACAUGCAAGUCGAGCGAACGUAGCAAUACGUUAGCGGCGGACGGGUGAGUAACGCGUGAGCAAUCUGCCUCUAUCAACGGGAUAACACUUAGAAAUAGGUGCUAAUACCGUAUAAGACCACGAUGCCGCAUGGCAUAGCGGUAAAAGCCACGACGGAUAGAGAUGAGCUCGCGUCCCAUUAGCUAGUUGGUAGUGUAACGGACUACCAAGGCGACGAUGGGUAGCCGACCUGAGAGGGUGAUCGGCCACAUUGGAACUGAGAAACGGUCCAA
RNAcentral lists this ribosomal RNA (297 nucleotides) under uncultured bacterium. RNAcentral describes it as "partial 16S ribosomal RNA". It matches the Rfam family "Bacterial small subunit ribosomal RNA", at positions 28 to 334 of the family's 1533-position model. The record is from RNAcentral.